RNAcentral lists this ribosomal RNA (301 nucleotides) under uncultured bacterium. RNAcentral describes it as "partial 16S ribosomal RNA". It matches the Rfam family "Bacterial small subunit ribosomal RNA", at positions 509 to 807 of the family's 1533-position model. The record is from RNAcentral.
CAGUAGCCGCGGUAAUACGUAGGGUGCAAGCGUUAAUCGGAAUUACUGGGCGUAAAGCGUGCGUAGGCGGUUUGUUAAGUCUGUUGUGAAAUCCCCGGGCUCAACCUGGGAAUGGCAAUGGAUACUGGCAAGCUAGAGUGUGUCAGAGGAUGGUGGAAUUCCCGGUGUAGCGGUGAAAUGCGUAGAGAUCGGGAGGAACAUCAGUGGCGAAGGCGGCCAUCUGGGACAACACUGACGCUGAGGCACGAAAGCGUGGGGAGCAAACAGGAUUAGAUACCCCGGUAGUCCCUGUCUCUUAUAC